Molecule: transfer RNA, 82 nt
Filed under: Candidatus Rifleibacteriota bacterium
Lineage: Bacteria; Candidatus Rifleibacteriota
Description: tRNA-Leu
Rfam family: tRNA
About the family: Transfer RNA (tRNA) molecules are approximately 80 nucleotides in length.
Source: RNAcentral
GCUCGGGUGGUGGAACUGGUAGACACAUACGUUUGAGGGGCGUAUGCUUCACGGCGUGCGGGUUCAAGUCCCGCCCCGAGCA